RNAcentral lists this long non-coding RNA (274 nucleotides) under Lathyrus oleraceus (garden pea). RNAcentral's name for it is "Pisum sativum (pea) long non-coding RNA (PSAT_LNC040398)". The record is from RNAcentral. Lineage: Eukaryota; Viridiplantae; Streptophyta; Magnoliopsida; Fabales; Fabaceae.
UUUAACAUCAACAUUUUCAUCAUUCGCACAAUUCAAUCAAAUUUCAUGGGUUUAACAACAACAUUUUCAUUAUUCACACAAUUCAAUCCAAUUUCAUGGGUUUAACAUCAACAUUUUCAUCAUUCCCAUAAUUCGAUCAAAUUUCAUGGGUUUAACAACAACAUUUUCAUCAUUCACACAAUUCAAUCAAAUUCUAUGGGUUUAACAAAAUAAUUUUCAUCAUUCAAAUAUUUCAAUCAAAUUUCAUGGUUUUAUCAAUAAUAUUUUCAUUUAU